Molecule: ribosomal RNA, 440 nt
Filed under: uncultured bacterium
Lineage: Bacteria
Description: partial 16S ribosomal RNA
Rfam family: Bacterial small subunit ribosomal RNA
Source: RNAcentral
CCUACGGUGAGCUGCAGUGGGGACUAUUGCACAAUGGGGGAAACCCUGAUGCAGCGACGCCGCGUGAGUGAGGAAGUAUUUCGGUAUGUAAAGCUCUAUCAGCAGGGAAGACAAUGACGGUACCUGACUAAGAAGCCCCGGCUAACUACGUGCCAGCAGCCGCGGUAAUACGUAGGGGGCAAGCGUUCUCCGGAUUUACCGGGUGUAAGGGAAACGUAGACGGGUAAUCAAGUCAGAAGUGAAACCCCAGGGCUCAACCUUGGGACUUCGUUUGAAAUUGAGUAGCUAGAGUGCAGGAGAGGUAAGCGGAAGUCCUAGUGUAGCGGUGAAAUGCGUAGAUAGUAGGAGGAACACCAGUGGCGAAGGCGGCUUACUGGACUGUAACUGACGUUGAGGCUCGAAAGCGUGGGGAGCAAACAGGAUUAGAUACCCCGGUAGUC